CCCUUAGAUGUUCUGGGCCGCACGCGCGCUACACUGACGAAGUCAGCGAGCAUGUCCUACGCCGACAGGUGCGGGGAAUCUUGUCAAACUUCGUCGUGAUGGGGAUUGAUUAUUGAAAUUCUUGAUCAUCAACGAGGAAUUCCUAGUAAGCGCAAGUCAGCAGCUUGCGUUGAUUACGUCCCUGCCCUUUGUACACACCGCCCGUCGCUACUACCGAUUGAAUGGUUUAGUGAGAUCUUCGGAUUGGAGCCACUGCGGCUCAGCAAUGGGCUCGGUGGAUGCCGAAAAGUUGAUCAAACUUGAUCAUUUAGAGGAAGUAAAAGUCGUAACA
Molecule: ribosomal RNA, 331 nt
Filed under: uncultured eukaryote
Lineage: Eukaryota
Description: partial 18S ribosomal RNA
Rfam family: Eukaryotic small subunit ribosomal RNA
Source: RNAcentral